GGCGCCAUGGCCAAGUGGUAAGGCAGAGGUCUGCAAAACCUCUAUUCCCCAGUUCGAAUCUGGGUGGCGCCUCCA
This 75-nucleotide transfer RNA is filed under the name Oscillospiraceae bacterium. Its description in RNAcentral is "tRNA-Cys". It matches the Rfam family "tRNA". From Rfam's summary of the family: Transfer RNA (tRNA) molecules are approximately 80 nucleotides in length. Their secondary structure includes four short double-helical elements and three loops (D, anti-codon, and T loops). Further hydrogen bonds mediate the characteristic L-shaped molecular structure. tRNAs have two regions of fundamental functional importance: the anti-codon, which is responsible for specific mRNA codon recognition, and the 3' end, to which the tRNAs corresponding amino acid is attached (by aminoacyl-tRNA synthetases). tRNAs cope with the degeneracy of the genetic code in two manners: having more than one tRNA (with a specific anti-codon) for a particular amino acid; and 'wobble' base-pairing, i.e. permitting non-standard base-pairing at the 3rd anti-codon position. The record is from RNAcentral. Lineage: Bacteria; Bacillati; Bacillota; Clostridia; Eubacteriales; Oscillospiraceae.